RNAcentral lists this non-coding RNA (30 nucleotides) under Mus musculus (house mouse). Lineage: Eukaryota; Metazoa; Chordata; Mammalia; Rodentia; Muridae. The record is from RNAcentral.
UGGGGAAACCAUCAGCUGAGCCUAUAGGGU